AGAACGACUAAAUAACGUGAACUGGAGAAUGGAAAAAUUAAACUCAGGAGAGUAAUUGUCGGCUUAAAGGAUCUACGUGAAGAUUUUAGUAUAACUGAACUUAAUGAGAAUUUUGAGAAUAAAAACAGAAAACGUAAAAUGAGAGCGUUCGGAAAGGUGACAGUCUAGAUACUUACCUGUAUGAGGUUGAGGUUAUCAAACUGACUUUGAAGAUCACAAAUAUUGCUAUGUUGACGGCUGGUGGUUUCGGG
This 251-nucleotide unclassified non-coding RNA is filed under the name Hevea brasiliensis (rubber tree). Lineage: Eukaryota; Viridiplantae; Streptophyta; Magnoliopsida; Malpighiales; Euphorbiaceae. The record is from RNAcentral.